This 253-nucleotide ribosomal RNA is filed under the name uncultured bacterium. Its description in RNAcentral is "partial 16S ribosomal RNA". It matches the Rfam family "Bacterial small subunit ribosomal RNA", at positions 524 to 776 of the family's 1533-position model. The record is from RNAcentral.
UACGAAGGGAGCUAGCGUUGUUCGGAAUUACUGGGCGUAAAGGGCGUGUAGGCGGUCCCAUAAGUCAGAUGUGAAAGCCCUAGGCUUAACCUAGGAGGUGCAUUUGGUACUGUGGGACUAGAGAUCGAGAGAGGAAAGUGGAAUUACGAGUGUAGAGGUGAAAUUCGUAGAUAUUCGUAAGAACACCAGUGGCGAAGGCGGCUUUCUGGACGAUGACUGACGCUGAGACGCGAAAGCGUGGGGAGCAAACAGG